RNAcentral lists this small RNA (174 nucleotides) under Chrysemys picta bellii (western painted turtle). RNAcentral describes it as "TUC338 (ENSCPBG00000024710.1)". Lineage: Eukaryota; Metazoa; Chordata; Testudines; Emydidae. The record is from RNAcentral.
UUUACAACUCGGGAGAACCAAGCCCUUUAUUGAGCCGCAGAACUGGAAGAGCCAGCUGAUGGCAUUGCAGGAUUCUCCCACACUGCCCACUUCCUUAACCCUGUUCUGGAUGGACCACUUCUAGGGAUGAGAGGUUAGUUCCAUCACGGUGACCCUUUCAAAUCUUUAGCCUCA